GUGGGGAAUAUUGGACAAUGGGCGCAAGCCUGAUCCAGCCAUGCCGCGUGAGUGAUGAAGGCCUUAGGGUUGUAAAGCUCUUUCAGUGGGGACGAUAAUGACGGUACCCACAGAAGAAGCCCCGGCUAACUUCGUGCCAGCAGCCGCGGUAAUACGAAGGGGGCUAGCGUUGUUCGGAUUUACUGGGCGUAAAGCGCACGUAGGCGGAUCGUUAAGUCGGGGGUGAAAUCCUGGAGCUCAACUCCAGAACUGCCUUCGAUACUGGCGAUCUUGGGUCCGGAAGAGGUGAGUGGAACUCCUAGUGUAGAGGUGGAAUUCGUAGAUAUUAGGAAGAACACCAGUGGCGAAGGCGGCUCACUGGUCCGGUACUGACGCUGAGGUGCGAAAGCGUGGGGAGCAAACAGGAUUAGAAACCCCGGUAGUCC
RNAcentral lists this ribosomal RNA (425 nucleotides) under uncultured bacterium. RNAcentral describes it as "bacterial SSU rRNA". It matches the Rfam family "Bacterial small subunit ribosomal RNA", at positions 354 to 796 of the family's 1533-position model. The record is from RNAcentral.